RNAcentral lists this ribosomal RNA (253 nucleotides) under uncultured bacterium. RNAcentral's name for it is "partial 16S ribosomal RNA". It matches the Rfam family "Bacterial small subunit ribosomal RNA", at positions 524 to 776 of the family's 1533-position model. The record is from RNAcentral.
UACAGAGGGUGCGAGCGUUAAUCGGAAUUACUGGGCGUAAAGCGUGCGCAGGCGGUUUUGUAAGCCCGAUGUGAAAUCCCCGGGCUUAACCUGGGAAUGGCAUUUGGGACUGCAAGGCUUGAGUGCGGCAGAGGAGACUAGAAUUCCUGGUGUAGCAGUGAAAUGCGUAGAUAUCAGGAGGAAUACCGAUGGCGAAGGCAGGUCUCUGGGCUGACACUGACGCUCAUGCACGAAAGCGUGGGGAGCAAACAGG